ACACAGUAGCUUCAUAAAGAGGAUCAAUAAACAAAGACGUGCAUACAUCAGUUGUACAAAAAUUGCCCAUUACAUAAACUACUGAUGAACCUAUAAUUAGUUAACCACAACAAUCAAUCGGGUAAAAAUAACCUGUUCAAGAUGCAGCAGGAAGCAGUUUAACAAGCAGCAGAUGAAAGUACUAUACAAAUCAGCAAACAGCAGCCACAGCUGUACAAAUUGAAGAUGACCCAUGUUAUGAAGCUGUACAAACUGAAACAGACAAGGGAGAAGGAAAUCUACUUCAACAAAGUAAAAACCUGACCAAUUUUCACCAAACAUUAAGAACCCUAACCAAUUUUCACCAAAACAAGAAUCCUGGUACGAAACCGAAGCAGAAGAAGAGCUUCUCAGUCCAGCUGGCUCCAACCCUGACCCCUGCCGAUGCGCCUUCGCCUUCUCGUCGUUGACAUAGCAAAGUUUUUCAAGAUGGCUCUAACACCAACCCCUACUGAUGCGCCUUUACCUCUUCGUCGACUCGUCGUAGACACAAGAAAAAUCCAAAGCGACAGAAAGAAACAGAGAAUAAAGGGUAAAAGGGGAAAGUAGUGUACCACAUUCGACUGGCCUCACGAGAAACCAUGGAGAUUGGAGAAAUGUUAAGUGUCUACCAACAAUUUGAAGAAUACAUUUUUUUAGAGAAAAAGUGGGCCCGCAGG
RNAcentral lists this long non-coding RNA (698 nucleotides) under Linum usitatissimum (flax). Its description in RNAcentral is "long non-coding RNA (LUSI_LNC004514)". The record is from RNAcentral. Lineage: Eukaryota; Viridiplantae; Streptophyta; Magnoliopsida; Malpighiales; Linaceae.